RNAcentral lists this ribosomal RNA (483 nucleotides) under uncultured bacterium. Its description in RNAcentral is "partial 16S ribosomal RNA". It matches the Rfam family "Bacterial small subunit ribosomal RNA", at positions 28 to 507 of the family's 1533-position model. The record is from RNAcentral.
GACGAACGCUGGCGGCGUGCUUAACACAUGCAAGUCGAACGCUGAAGCUCAGCUUUUGUUGGGUGGAUGAGUGGCGAACGGGUGAGUAACACGUGAGUAACCUGCCCCCUUCUUUGGGAUAACGCCCGGAAACGGGUGCUAAUACUGGAGAUUCACUGGUCUUCGCAUGGGGGUUGGUGGAAAGGGUUUUUCUGGUGGGGGAUGGGCUCGCGGCCUAUCAGCUUGUUGGUGGGGUGAUGGCCUACCAAGGCUUUGACGGGUAGCCGGCCUGAGAGGGUGACCGGUCACAUUGGGACUGAGAUACGGCCCAGACUACUACGGGAGGCAGCAGUGGGGAAUAUUGCACAAUGGGCGCAAGACUGAUGCAGCGACGCCGCGUGAGGGAUGGAGGCCUUCGGGUUGUGAACCUCUUUCGCUCAUGGUCAAGCCGCAACAAUGGUUGUGGUGAGGGUAGUGGGUAAAGAAGCGCCGGCUAACUACGUG